Non-coding RNA from Caenorhabditis elegans, 127 nucleotides. The record is from Ensembl. Lineage: Eukaryota; Metazoa; Nematoda; Chromadorea; Rhabditida; Rhabditidae.
AAACCAGGCGUAAAACUCUCACUUCCGAUGUGCAUCAUCAUCGGAAGCAAAGGGUAAAGGUGAAUCAUAAAUGAUAGGUCAGCUUGUGAAUGGAAAACGUUACAUCAAAUGUAAAAAUGGAAGGCGU